UUUUUUUUUCCUUUUUAUCGGCAGAGUUGUUAUGGAAGGAGCCUCUGUUUUUUAAGAAGCGAAUGGAAAGUUUUUUUAUUUCACAAUGUUGAACGUGUCAAUGCUAUUUUUUUGGACGGAAGCAUUUGUGUUAAGCAAGUUCUCUAUUAUUGGAAAUAAAUUUUGCAAUUCAGUGGCGUAAUUAAUUUUGACGAUAUGAAUUAACGAGAAGCCUUGAAACGUGCGACCAUGUAGAGGAUCCGAGUUGUUUUUCCUUUUUUUUGAGAGAGAGAGAGAGAUCUUUUACCUUUUUUAAUUGCCAGAAGAUUUUAUUCCUAGAGUUUCACUGGUCAUCAACCGGAUUUUUUUUCCUUUUUAUUCGGUGGAGUUGUUAUGAAAGAAGGCUAUUUUUGUUAGGAACGGAUGGAUGUUUUUUCUCUUGCUUUGUUUCACAACAUUGGACGUGUUAGGUGCAAUUUUUAUGAGGUAAAUACACCAGUGGUGCUUGAACUUGCCAGCGAUGUUCAGUUUGGUGCCUGAAGUUGAAAAAUACGCCGAAGUGGUUCUAAAACUUGGCACGAACGUGCAGAUACGAUGCUAAUCCCAUUCUUAUACGUAAAGUGCUCCAACAUGGCAGUGUAUAUACCUGACUUGGCAUCGAGCCUUCUUAUAAAUACGGAACAAAAUUAUUUUAUAUAUGAUAUGUCCCUAUGACUAGUGGACCAAGGAAAUUAAAGUAAAAAAUGCAGACAGACAGAAAUCGAACCUGUGCCCAAUAGCAAACAGCAAGCGUGUCCUACCACUACCCCAACUUCAUCCUUACAAGUAUACUGGCCUCUGAAAUAUCAUGUAGUGUAAAUGAAAACGGAUAUGCUACUAAAAUGGGCUGCACUGAGUGCGGCCCAUUUAGCACACGUUAUUUCUUUGUUUUUACAGAAAAAGUAUGUAAAUAAUAAUCAUAAUACUAAAAGUUAGAUUCAAAUAUUCGUGCAUAAUCAAUAAUUACCUUGUUGUAAAAAAUAUUCGUCUGCACAUAUUAUUUUUAAAAUCCAUAAACAAGGCCACAACUAUCGGUUACAAAUAUUUGUGGUACAUAAAUAAUAACCUCAUGGUACACAAAUAUUCAUGUGCACAAAAAGUAAAUAUAUAAAUUUAUGCAAUAAAAUAUCUUACUAAAAGAUGUUCCUAUAAUUUAUUGAAAUAUUCACCUUAAACACAAUCCAUAACUGUUGAAAAAUGUUUACUUAAUACAAACAUUUCAAAUAUACAGUCAUGGAUUAUGUUUUAAAAACUUAGUAAAUACACUGUCAUGGCUUAUAUUUAAAUAAUACUUGAACAUUUUUUACAUGAUUUUUUUAAAUUUAGAUUUUUUCCGUUUUACGUAACGUAUUUAUAACAUGAUUAGUUGAACUUUAUUUGUAUUACUAUCAUUAUAAUAUACAGACGGUUUAAGCAGAUUAAGGAAAAAAAAUAACAUGUGCUAAAUGGACCGUUAAGUACCACAACCUUUUCUACAUUAAAGUUCAGGAGCCGCAAUUGCUAACAGUUGCAAGUAAGCGCGGUGGCAUGCCACAGUCAUUUUUAGUUUUAGGUUGCAGGUUCGAAUCCUGUUGUCCUAUAUUUUACAUUUUAAUUUCCCUACAGACCUCUAUUUCACAGUUUAAUUUCCCUACAGGCGGGACCCAAUAAUCAUAGAGACAAAUACAGUGGCACGCCAGCGCACUUAACGUAUACAAAUGAUAUUAGCACUGUAUUUGCAUGUUUGUGUCAAGUUUUAGAACCAGUUCAACGUAUUUUUCAAGUUUAGUCACUAAACUGAACAUCCAUGACAAGUUCGAGCACUACGGGUGUAUUUACCUCAAUUUUUAUUGUGAUGGGACCAUCUGGUACGCAAGUUUACCUUUUAUCUUAGACGUAUAUUUUACAAUCCAACGGUCUAAUCAAUUUUGAUGAUGUGGAUUAAUAAGAAGGCUUAAAAGGUGCCUCCAAUUAGUAAAUAAGAGAUAAGAGAUGGUUGGCCCAUUAUGCCGACUCUGUUAGUGUUGCUCUAAGAGCAUGUGUAUACGUUGGCCCAAAUUGCUCAAAGUCCAGCAUUCCCAUGGAGUGCGCUCUUUGUUCGGAUUCACCAAUGUCACAUCGGGGACGUUCACGGCAGGGUGGGUGCGUCAGCCAUGGAAGUUUUCUAGUGUGGGCACGGGAUUUGGGAGAGAAAAUGGACUGGAGAUUGAUGUGCCACUACGCGGGCCUUCACGACAUGUCCACGCGGAUGCAGAUCCAGUCCAAAUUUGAACUAGAAAUAUGUCACGGUAGACAGCAAAACAGACAUCAGUCCAUUUACAUAGCCGCGCCGAGCUGUGGUGUUUGUCUGCGUGGAUAGAAGCAAACACGGCUGAACGAAAUGCAUAGGCCCGUUGGACCCAUCCUAGAGAAUGGUGACCGCGGUAGGGUUACACCGUUACACCUUUGAGUCACCCCAUUUCAGACAACCUGAGGCGAUCAUUCAUAUUUUAUGUCAUUUUCUGGAGAAGGCGACCAUUCAUAGUACACGAGCAUCGACCAAAUGCUUUUCUUAUUCCAGCAGAAUAUUCAAAGUACACGAGCUAUAGAUUACCUGUAACCCGACUGAGCGGCACAUCAUCACAGAUUUAUUAUAUACUUAUAUAGUAUAAGCCGUAGUGAUUGGGAAUACUGGGAUACAUGCGCAACAUCGAUGUAUAUUGGAGUUGCACUAAACGCCGGGGCGUUUUAAGCUAGCCGACGAUGGGGGUCUUGACGACAAUGCCAGCUGCAUUGGAGAUGAGGAUGACACGCCUAGGGUCAGGGCGCCCUGGCUGCCUGUUGGGUUCCCUUUCCAUGAUUAACGCCACCUCGACAUCUGGCCUGUCCCGGUUGAUCAGGUGUGCCGCGGUGGCCACCGGCAGCCCCACCGCCUCUGGCCAUGACGACCUCGAUCCCCUUCCUAAUCCUGCGAGCUCCGCUCUUCCCAUAGUUUCAAGGAGGAUGUGCUCAACUUGUGGUCUGCGUUUGUAGGAUGUGAAGCAACGAUGAGAUCAGGCGGUACUUGUAGGAGCAUUUGUGACUGAGCGUGAGGUGGACACGAUGAGCAUUUGUGAGUGUGAGAUGCUUCCUUUUCAUUUUUUGGAACUCUGUGAGUGUGACAGGCUGACGCUUGAUAAUGAGAUGGUGCAUCGGGUACGCCGGUUUCGCUUGGUAGAGCUGAAUAUGCAACCGUCUGUUUCACGGGUGCAUCGUCCACACCGUUGCCAAGUGCAGGAAUCAACGUUGCAAAGUGUCUGAUUGUUCCGGGCAUAAAACAAAGUUUGAGUUUAUUAAUCGCUAGUGUGAACUAGCUAAGUAGCAUUGUCUUUUAGGGAAGACCAUCAUGACAUUAGAAGGAUCAAUUGGUGCAGACGUUAUGAGAGUUUGUGUCAUAAGCAUAUAUCAAGCUAAAUUAUGGCAACUUUGAUGGCCCUUCCCAAAGCUUUUGCGCUAUCCGAGAGCAGCUCGCCAGAAUGGUUGUGUAGGGUUCCAGGCGUUGAUAUUCUCUUGACUUAAGGCAAACUGACUUAGAAGCAGCCAGUGGUGGAAAUAGAAACAAUUGUUAGGUGUUCUGAAGCUUACCUAGUAUAUGCGGCUCAGUUCCAAUUUUAAAAAUUGUAUACUAAGGAGUAUUGUUUUUUGCGGGCUAUAUGUACUAAGUAUGUACAUCAAACUUUAGGCCCUCUAACAGGCAACCUUGUUAGAUUGCUGGCUAUAUCGUUCGCAAUAGCUGACAUGUGGGCCCUCUAACAGGUCAGCCCACAAGUUUGAACUCAAGCCGGUAAUGGUUAAAGGUUACCCGCAUCCUCGUGGGUAAUUACUCUAUCAGGGGACGGGGAUGUGCUAGCGUUAAUAGCCACGGGGAAGCUGGUGGGUCAAAUACCUUACCCAGUGUGUAACAUGGGGAUGGGGAUGUGAUAGCAUUACCUGUGCCCGUUACCCUCCUUACCUAUGAAGGCCUUACAUGUGGGGAUUAAAAUAAGUAGACCCCAUAUAAUUCCCACCCUUACCCACCCAAAUUUCCACCCAUCCCAAACCUUUGGCCAAAAAUACAUAAGAAAACCCUAACCUAGCCACAACAUAUUAUUUAUUGUGCUAAAAUUCUAUUUUUCUCUACAUAAAUGUUACUAAAGGUUGUUGUUGAUUGCGUGUAUGGGUUUCCCCACGGGGAUAAAAAACCGACGGGGAUGGGGAUGAGAAUAUUUUUAUCCCCACGGACGGGUAUGGGUACGAGGACGGGCAUGGGAAGGUUGUUGCGGGGCCGGGGAUGGGGGUCCAAUACCCGCCUGGGUAAUCCUUAUUGCCAGCCCCGGAGUCUGAACCAAAGUAAGAGGACUUGCUUUCAGAGUCUAGGCUCGUUACUACAUCAAGUCUUCAAAAAUUUCUGUUUACGACACUGACGUGAUAUCUAAAUAAAUAAAUUGACCAUAAUAUCUAGAAAGGCAAAAUACUGUAAUAAAAUUAUUGCUACAGAAUCAUUUUUUCGAGAAAAUUUCCAAUCUAUUCAUCUUCAAUCAUGGUAGUACAAUGGACACUAGAAAUAACAAAAACUACAUCCAGAUCCAAACAACACCUAGUGAUGACUACAAGCACUGAAGCGAGUCGAAGGCCCGCCGCUUCCAUCACCCCUCCCUCGUCGGAGCCAGGCAAAACUUGUUAUAGUAGACAGCCGGCCCAUAGGACCAACGCACUAAAAUAGCAACCGUUGCCGAUGAAGAGUAGCAUAGAUCAGAAGGAUUAACCCUGAAAACUCACGGAAUUAGACGAACAACCACAAGAUCUGAGAAAAUGCACCAAUGACAGAUCUGCAAGAGAAUCAGUUAUUUACGAGAAUUAUAUUAACAUUAUUUUAGUGGUUAAAUUUUAAACUGCAAUACAAUUUCGUGUAGAGUAAUGAGUAUUUGAGACCUGAGUAUAUUGUAUAACUUGUUGCAUGCAACCACUACAAAUUUACCGAUUAAGAUCAACUUUUGAGCUUGUUACAACCGAGUAGAGUGAUUAGUGACAGGCCACUCUUCAUCGCACGAGCUUCUGCAGUAUCAAGAUUUAGGUCAUGGUUGGCAUUUUAGGUAUGUUCGCUAGUGCUGUAAUUUUACCAUUUUAUUUUCUGCGUGUGGUUCGGUGGUGGAGUGGUGAAUGCAAAACUCCGCCCAAUAGGUUUAAAUCAAGUUUCUUUGCAUUUUUUUAAUUUUGGGGACACCCUUGCACAGUUAUUCUAUAAAUAGAAAGCAAAAACAUGAAUUUCACCAUGUUUUGAGCCCUGGCUGAUAUCCAUUCCUAAAUACUAAUUUGACAGUCUUUACCAUUUAAAUCGCCCACCCCACACGUCACGCGUGUUGCUCAAUUUACUGUUGGCAUUCUCGACCCACCAGCCGCCGCAUGGCUGCACCCUUCACGCCAUCCUAGUGGCUACCGCUUUAUCACUACUGAGCGUGACCUCUAAUACUUCCAUGCCACUCUGGAAUGCCAGUUGUGAGUCCCGUCCAUCAUGCACCUCCUGAUAGGCAUGGCAUAACCCCCUUACACCACAACAUGCGCUCUCUUAUACCCUUUUUUUGUCGGGUAUCUCUUAUACCCUUUCGUGGCAGGUGUGGUGGCUCCGGGAGGAAUUACUCCAGACACAGCGGUAAGACACCUCUGAUGUGUUUUGUGCCUUAGUUUACAUAUCAUAGUCAUGCUUAUAUGAUAAUUGACGAAAUUGGUCCGGCGCACGUGCAUACAUAGCAUCUACAUGUAGAAGGAGUGUACAUGUAAUACCAUGAGGGUUAUCGAUUUUACUAUAUAUAUCUGUGUGUGUUUGCUUGUGACACCUUCGAUGAAAUUUGAAAAGUUGUCUCACAUCAUAUCAUAUUAAGGAUAAAUAAUUCAAUUAUAUAAAAUAUCUUUUUGAGGGUUGAGAGAGAUUGAUAACAAGAUCGGCGAGAGAAAGCAAAGAUGAACCUAAAGGGAAAUUACUACGCCAGCCAUAUUGCCUAAUUCGAAUAUGUUAUAUAUCUUGUUGUCUAUUGAGCGCCCAUCUUCACAGAAUGAUGGCUGACAUCGACUAACAAUCUUUGGCCUUCCCGAUCCUACUAAAACUUAAAUUUUGAUGUGCCCGACCGUUGCAUUAAUAACGCCACUGCAACAUUUAUUUUCUUGCAGUCAGUAAAGAAAGUGCAAAAAUAGUCCUACAUUUCAAAAAUUGCAAAUAAACAAUUAUGUGCAACAACCCCCUUCCACUCGCAUAAAAUCAAGCUCACAUACACCAUAUGAACUAACCUCUUAACUAAUCACCAUACACCAAACCAUAAUUAACAUCAGUGCGUUUUCUAUGGGACGAUUGGAGCAUGUCGUGUCAUCCUGGUUGUGGACCACAUGACCUCUUUUGUUUUGAAUUUAGUCUUUGAAGUCUCAUAUUGAUGGUGUAUACUUUCGACGAGGGAACAAUGGAUAUAUAGAUUAAUAUAUAUUUGUGCUUUAUUACAUUAAUCAAUACGGAUGAUCACACAUUAUUUAAAGCGCUACCAACACCAAGCACACAGCACCUAGCACAUUCAUAGUGGGCACAAGUGCAACACAACUACGUUGUGCAUGGAGCUAGUAAGCGGCCCUGCCCGCUGAGCGAGGUUGAGCUAGCCGACGACAGGGGUCUUCACAAGGACGCCAGCUUCAUUGGAGAGGAUGACGACGCGCGAGGGGUUGUGGCCCGGUGGCCAUUGGCCGCCUGUACCGCCGGCAAUAAACGAGAUAUCGGGCCUAUCACCUUUGAUCCGUACAACCGCGUUCUGCACUGGCCACCCCACCACCUCCGGCCAGGAGGUCUUCCAGAUUCCGUCACGACCCUCACCAGCACCUGCUGGCUCGAGUCCUCCCAUCAUAACGCCCAGCCGAUGAGUCUGUUUAACAAUUGCUGGUAACUAAUACCUAGUUGUACUUGUAGGUGCUGCGUGGUAUUUAGGUCGUGUUGGUAUAGUAUUUAUAGGUGAUCAAGGCCCUGUCGUAAUUAAGGUAAGCAUGACAACAAGCAUGACCAACGCAUAAUGACAACAAGUGAAAAUAUACUAGUCAUGCAUUGCACAUGUUUGUCGGUGUCCUACAAUACCAUAGGCAUGCAUCGCGUGCACCGUCCUCCAGUGCGGAAAGCAACAUUGUUAAGUCAAGUGUCGACAUGCCAAUCUUCAAUAUUGCAACAUAUCCCAAUUUUGUGCGGACUGCCUCACUGUAUCCAUUCCCACUGAACAUGCAACAUCCUUACAAUGCCACGACUAUCCAGUGAGAAUCAAGACAAUAACAAAGAAGGGGCAACAAUGAGGAAAAAAUAUGUAAAAAUAAUUGUCCUCAUGCCAUUAUAGAACUCAAAUGCUUUGCCCCUACUAAGGCCGAUGAGACUGCCUUAGACUUGAUCUUCUAGAAGACAGAAUUGGGCAUGGUGGAAAGGUAACGGAAGUUACAUGUUUUUCACUCAUUCCAAACAUCCCACACGAUCAAAAUAGUGAGUGAGGCCAUCGCUUUCCAUGGCAUGCUAUUGCUACAGGUUAGGCAGGUCCACCAAGCUUCGAUGGACAGAUCAGAUGCCAAACGUGGUAGCCAGAUCCGAGAGGUCGAACAAGGACUGUGCCAAAUUAUAAACAGCAAUAGUGGAGCGGCACCAAAAGAGAAGGUGGCAUGCUGAGUCCUGUUCUGCUCACAUUUCUCAAGCGCCGAUACUUCAAGACUGUCAUGCACAGCUAAAGCUUGCACAGCUUGGGUACAAUUAAUAACCUGGACAAUGUUUAAACACGAGAAAAUUCACGGUGUACAAUUGCACAGCCGGAAUGUAACUAUUAAUUUACUUGAAAAAUAGAAUUACUAAAAUAUCUCAGUGUUAGAUUAUGAUUCCACCCCUGGUUUCUAGUACUCGUUUCAUUCUGAGAGGGUACUCCGUGCAUCUACAUUGGAGUACAAUCAGCUGCAUGACCAACACUUCGUCUAAUUCGAGGUGGAGUACUGACAUGUGGCUCGCCAACUUUAGGGACACUAAAACUUGUUUGAGCUCGUCUCAUGGGUCGAAGAAGAGUAGAAGACGCAUGCGCACUGAGUGAAACCCUGGCAGAAUCGUUCUAGCACCCACAGAGAGCGCCUUCACUGUGACAUAGGGCCUCUCGCUUUGGAUUGUGUCACCACAGCCGACAUUGGCAUGGCCAAUAACCAGGGCCGUCUCCAGGAAUUCGGGGCCCCGGUGCGAAAUGCAAAAUGAGGCCCUAAAAUUUCUAGAAUAGACAAUUUCUUUAUAGAAAAAAUAUGAACGAAUUCCAACAUUGCAUAAAUGAUAGGCUUAUCAAGGUAAUAAUGAAAAAAAACAACCCUGAAGCAACCAUCUUGGAAAUCUUUGUGUGUGACAACUUGAUUACAGGCCCGGCCGGUAGAUUAAGGAGCAGGCCCGGCCGGUAGUGCCAAAGACUAGCUGAGGAAGCCCAGUUACGUGCUAGGUCUGAAGAAAGGGCCCAAAACGAAAAACAAUAUACUAUGGUAUUGGCCCAAAUCGGGGGCCCCUGAAAUUUGGGGGCCCUGUACGGGCGCACAGCCUGCACAGGCCCCUGGGCGGCCCUGCCAAUAACUCCGGUCAUGGUAUCUUCUCGGACCCCAUUAAGGCCAUGUGACUACUUCAAAAUAUGUCUCGGAUAAUCUAUAGAUGGCAAGCAAGUCUAAGUGGAUGCACAUGACAUAAGCCUCAAAAACUAAUAUAUGUUCGUAGGAAGAUCAACCAUAAAUCAUCUGGCCGUCAUAUGCCGCUAAUGUUAUACUAGUGAUGUAUGGACUCCUUUUGGUCUGUUCAAGAAAUGUGUCCAUUCAAAUUUUCGGGACACCCAUGCACCUAACACUUCCGUCCUGAUUUUUUUUGGAAAAUUUUUGUACAAAAACAGCCUCCAAUUGUUGCCUAAGUUCAAACCGAAAAUAUAUAAGGUUUUGCUAUGUCCGAAAUGGGAGCAACCUAAACCGAGAAAACGUGGUUGUGGGUGCGUAGUGAAUACACGUCAGCCAUGUACAUGCACAUGUGGUCGCGAGGCCGAUCCUACGGCUCAUAACAUGGCCGUGCUGUUGUGUUCCAGACUGAACGUUCGUGUGGAAUAUUAAGCGAAUAACAAAAAUAUUGCCUCAGUGACAAGACCAAUGCUAAGCUCUCAAGAGAGCCAUGAAACAAGUAGGCAUCAAAAAAACAUUAAUUGUAGGACUAGGUACGCUAUGACAAAAAGGUUUCUCCACUGGUUUCUUCCAUGACGGAGGGGGAGAUGCCGGCCGAUCAAAUCCAUCUAGAGGACAAUGACCCGGCGGACAGAUUAAAGCAGGUGCCACGGGAUAAUUUAUCGUAUAUGUACCGUGCUGCCGUGCACAAACGCCGCCAGGUUUAGAUUAGCUUUAUUCUUAAUAAAUUAGAUUUUCUCUUGGAUUAGCUUUGUAGAAGUGUACCGUGCUACAUACCAACAACCACACGCUAGCUGCUCACUCCUCUUCCUCUCCAAUCUCGUGUCGUGCUACUAGUGCCGCGGACCAGCCGUUGUCCAUCAAUCUGUCAGCUCGUUGGGCGGUGGUGAUGGCGAGGCACUUCACGCUCAACACCGGCGCUGAGAUCCCCUCGGUGGGGUACGGCACCUGGCAGUCCAAGCCGGAUGAGGUCGGCCGCUCCGUUUACGCUGCCGUCAUGGUUCGCUCGGCCUUGUGUGAUUUGGUUUCUUCAGCUAAUUACUUUCCUUUGUCUAAUCUCAGUUUCUCACCUUUGUCUAAUCGUGAGAAACAUAGAUAUGAGAUUGUUUUUGAAUUAUGCAGGCAGGGUAUCGACACAUCGAUUGUGCUAGGGCUUACCGCAACGAAAAGGAGGUAGGUGAACAUUUAUUUCUUUUUCGAUGAAGGGACUUUUUCAAUAAAAAUGCUUGCAUUCUUGUUGGCAAUAUUGUCUCCAUUCAAACUGAGUAUGAAUUGUUGGCUUAAGGAAAGCAUAACAUUCGCUUUCGGAUUAUCAGGUUGGUUUGGCACUGCAAAAGCUAUUCGAAGAGGGUGUGGUGAAACGGGAAGAUUUGUUUAUCACCUCUAAGCUAUGGUAAGCUCAGAGCACUGGGAUUGAUCUGUUCAAUUCACCUGCAUGUAUUUCUCAGCAGUUUAAGUUCACCGAGUAUUUGGUCGGUGAUUUUAGGCAUGAUCAUCAUGCUCCAGAAGAUGUGCCGGAGUCGCUUGACAGAAGUCUGCAUGACUUGCAGCUUGAGUACUUGGAUCUUUACCUUGUAAGCAUCUUCAAUUUUAUAAUCACGUUUCACUAUCCAGUUGCUCCAAUCUUGCCGUUGUGUUGUACUAUCUCACUUUGUGUACUCAAUAUGGUGAUUUCUACUAUACUUUUGCAUGCUCGUUUCAUUUUAUUUUUAGGGAGCUAUCUUUAUCAUUUCGAAUAAGGCAGCUCAGAAAACAAUGAGAAAAGCAUACUUUUCAUCCCUCAACUCUUCGCAGAGUCUAGAUUUAGUCCCUCAACUACAAAAGCAGACAAUUUGCACCUCCAACUCUUGAAACCGGUCAAGUUCCAUCCCUCGACUCAACCGAAGCAGUAUCCAUGCUGACUCGGCAUGGUUUUGAAUGGGGCAUGUCCACGUGGCAAAAUUUCUAUUUCUUUUCAUCAAUCUUUAGUGUAGACGUUUCGUCGAACAGUUGGCGUGCAAUGCCGCACUGCACAACACCCGAGCAUGCCCGUCAGCCGACGAGCCACUGCCGCCACCAUCGGUGGCCCUGCUAACUAGCAUGCACCGCCGGUUGCCCUGCUGGCCACUAAACACGCCGCUCCAAGCCGUCGUGUGACUCCGGGCCUCUGGCCGCAAGCACAACCACCUGCUGGCUGGCACACCUAGUUGUGCCAUAGCUCUCCAAUGGAGCAGGAUGGCAGAAACUGCAGCCAACAGUUGCAUCCUCACGAACUUGCACUCGAAGCAUGACAAGAUCAGGACGUAGCUCAUCGAGGCCGGCUUUGUGUGGCUGAUCUGCAUGUGCAAGUACUCGCAACAUGCCACCAGAGCUGCGCUCACACAACGCCAACAGAAUUUGAAGGGCCGGGAGCCUGAGCACGCAACCACGAAGCAUGUUGGGGUGAAGACGCACGGGGGAGUGAUGCGGAGCCGCCGGCGCGUGGGGUCCCAGUCGCUGAGUAACACGAAAUACGAUGGGAUGGACGAGUCGGGGCUGCGUUCGACGGCGAGGUACAUGCCGAGCGUGAGCUUGUGGCCGACCGUUGCGGGAGGUCGGCGGAGACGAACUCGGUGGGUUAUAGUAGGGGUGUUGGCCGCCGGAGAGCGCCCACCUCAACGCCCGCACACCAACGACGAGCGGCAGCGCCUCCACCUCCGCCUUCGUACCACGCUGCUGGAUCCAAGCAGUGGCCCCAUGCGCGAAGGUCGGCGACGACGGCGAGCACCACCACAACCAUGAGGUGCCCCAGCCCGUCCACGACGGUGACGUUCUCCAGCCCAGUGGGUAGGUUGAGCCGUCAAGACCACCAUGAACGCCAGCUUGCUCCUUAAUGUACGAGCGAGAGGAAAUGGGAGGCCAAUUUGCUGGUCUUAUUUGCCACGUCAGCCUAGACCGGUCAAAACCGGGGUCAACAGCACCAAAACCGGUCAAAAUUAAGAGAAGGGACGAAACAUGCCCGGUUUGAAGAUUUGAGGGUGCAAAUUGUCUGGUUUCGUAAUUAAGGGAUCAAAUCUAUACUAUGUCAAGAGUUGAGAGACGAAAAGUAUACUUUUCUCGAAAACAAUUGGCAUUGUGAUCUGGACUACACCAAACUCAAGAUUUCUGGAGGUUAUCGUCGACAAAUAAAUAUGUGUUUAAUGUGUGGAAACACGGUCCUCUAUUAGACUGCCUAUAAUGGGAGUAUCAUAAGCGGUAUCAUGUAUGCAAACUAGGCAUUUUUUAGGAUGUGGCGGACAAUUAAAUAAGGUAAUUGAGAAUUUGGUAUCAUAUCAUGAUACCGUAUCAUAUUAAAUUUUAUACCACAUUGUGUCAUGCAUGAGAAUAAAUGAAGCAAUCUAAGAUACUAACUUAUGAUUAUGCAUUAGUAAUAUUAUACACUAAUAUCAUAUGCAUCAUAGUAGUAGAUGAUACUCCACAUUGCGGGGAGCCUUAAGUGGCCAGUCCACUACUUAGUAAUUGCCUACUUAGUAAUUCUAUUGUUUAAUGUGUAGAAACACGAUCCCCUAUUAAGUGGCCAGUCCACCGCUUAGUAAUUGUGUUGUUUACAUGCACGCGGGCUUCUUUUCUGUGAUCUAGUCACAAAUCCACAUCCAACUAAAAUAAUGUCAAGCACCCACCACUUAACACCCAUGCAUUUCUGCAUAUGCUUUUUUUUAUGUUUUGGUAUGAGUUGGUAUAUUGUCUUGAGGUUGCAUCUUGAAUAUAUUAUAUAUUUGAAGAAUUUUACCAUUAUAUUUUAGUUGAAUUGUAUUUUCCUUCGAGGUGGAUUUAAGUGUUUACAUGUUGGAGCUAUAUAGCAAUGUUUUCAUGUAUAAUUCGAAAUUGAGUUUUUUAACGGUAUGAAAUUUUGUAGAUCCAUUGGCCAUUUAGGCUCAAGAAGGGCACCAACGCAAGCAACCCUGAAAACUUUGUACUACCUGACAUCCCUGCGACUUGGGGAGCAAUGGAAAAGUUAUAUGAUGCUGGAAAAGCUCGUGCAAUAGGUGUGAGUAACUUCUCAACAAAGAAAUUGGGUGACUUGCUUGUUGUAGCUCGUGUACGUCCUGCUGUUAAUCAGGUGGAAUGUCAUCCGGGUUGGCAGCAAAGUAAGCUCCACAACUUUUGUCAGUCAACCGGUAUUCAUCUUUCUGUAAGUUCGCGGUGCACUUGGAGGCAGCUGGCUUUCUUAUGUUUAAAAUAUACAUGUUCUUAUUAUACCUGACUAUGUAUGGGUAUUUGCAGGCAUACUCACCACUAGGUUCACCUGGUACACCUUGGAUGAACAGUAAUGUCCUCGAAGAACCUGUCAUCACCUUAAUAGCGAAUAAACUUGGGAAAACUCCUGCACAGGUGGCCCUGUGCUGGAACAUUCAGAUGGGUCAUAGUGUACUACCAAAGAGCCUGAAUGAGGAAAGGAUAAAGCAAAAUCUUGAUGUUUAUGAUUGGUCUAUUCCAGAUGACUUGCUUGCGAUGUUAACCGACAUUAAGCAGGUUUGUUGCUAUUCUUAAUACCCCCAUACUUAAAUGAGGACAAAAUUGCAAUGAUAUUUUCUAUAUGAUAGGCAUCUUUAUAAGAUGAGAUGGCAUGUUGGAAUAAUACUAUGUGAAAAUACAUAGCAUCUGACAACUGAAAAACAAAUCCAUGUGUAAACAUUCUGCAGAGUCUAUAUAUUCUUUGUUGCUGUAUCGUAAUUUGGUGUAAUCAAGUCUCUACAAAGGUCUUUUUUUACCUUGUUCGAGCAUGGUAAAAGAAAAUCCUCUUGACCCCUUGAGUUACCAAUUGUGUUGUUCAUUUUCAUUCUUUUAGAAAAAGCUCAAAUGAUUUCUUUUUCAUUUUUCUUGUUUUUUGUUUCAAAUCAAUGCAUCUUGUUAUGUUAUUAUUAAACUUUUCAUAGUGCAGUGUGAGUGCAUCUGAUUACCUUACUUUGUGGCCUUCAGGUAAGGCAGUUCAGAGGUGACUUCACCGUUAAUCCACAAAGCGUCUACAAGACCCACGAGGAGCUCUGGGAUGGGGAAGUUUAGGAUCAUGUUUAUCGUUAGCAACCUACGUACAUUAGAACCUUGCACUUCACAUAUACCUAUUGUGUGUUACUUUAGAUGUUGGUUAACUUUUAGUUCUGGAUCAAGAUCAUGUGUUGCUGAUACGUGGACGAUUUGUGCCUUUUAUCUGUUAUGUACCCACUUGUCAACUUGUAACUAGAUUGUCAAUCUGGGUAGCAAGUGCAAAACCAUGUGAACUCAUUCGGCCUCCACCAAGUGUUGAACGAUCCGGGUGUUGGCGCAACGGGUGCUGAUGAUGGGUUUACUAUCAUCGCAGGCCUCUCACACUUCCAUCAAGCCCACCAAUUGGAAGCCACACUCACUCAUAAGCACAACAUAGCCAACUCGAUGGGAAGCCUAUGUAUAUUGCCUUGGGUUCACCUAUUGAACAUUCACCGUGGUCGUGCGUCCACCUAUGUGUUUCAAGGCUACCUAUCUCGUUGACCCUUGACCUAAACCUUGCUGCUAUUCAUGUGUCAUCUGAUAGUACGGAGGUUAUUUCAUACAUCAAGAGACCUUCACCCUGUGUUUAUGCUUCUACCCUUUGGGAGAUUGAAUGUGGCCGACAUUGUUUCGCAUAGGUAGCUUUCGAAAAUGAAAAACCCUCGCAAAAAAGAAAACAUGUAAAGGGAUGCCACAAUGUAGCGGCGCAUUUGCUUGUUAAAGCUUUGUCUACACUAGCUCCUGGGUGUCAUGCUUGUUUUAAUUCGAUUCCGGAUAUUAUUUGAAUCCCUGUAAACAUUUCAAAUGAAUAUAGCCUUUCACCCCUAGAAAAAUCCAACUUGGGUUCCACAUCCAUUUGUGCAUCUAAUUAUGCUUGUCGGCUUGCAUGACUUUCCUAGUAAAAUCACGCAAUAAUUUUCAGAGAAAUUUGUGAACAUCUUGUAGGGUAAACAUGAUGUUCAAGCAGCCUUGUUCACCACUACCCAAGAAGAAAUUGGAGAGUCAAGGCAGAAAAGGCAAGCAUAGUGGUCUAGUGACAAGGGCUGGAAAAUAGUAGCUCUUAAACUAGCUAAAUCAUCUCCAAAAACCAUGAGCUUAAGUAAUUCCAACGCGUGCAAUCCGGUGGGUUGGACUUGGUGCACGAGUCGCAGUUGUCGCACGACGGCCACAUGUUCGCCCCUAAAGGCAGCAUACAAGGUAAAUAAGUUGCUACACUAUCUCUCUAUGCCAGGAGGGACUGGGAAAUGGAUGAAAAAAAUAAAGAAGCAUAGGCAUUACCUUGGCUCUUGAGGGGCAGUGCUGUGAGAACGGCCAACGCGACAAGCAGCACCUGAGGCCUCAUGCUUGGUUGCAAGGAUGGGACUGGUUUGGAGAGAGAGGGAGCUUGUGCUUUGGGUUGGCUAUGUGAGUGUACGCGGCUGACGAAAAUGAGAGGAAAAGUAAGAAUAUGCAAAUAAUCAACUACCAGUCCUCGAAAAAAAGCGUAAAAAGCACUUGUUUGUUUCUCCUCUCCUAUAGAUGUCGAUGUCGAUGUCGACACUUGCAAAUGCUCAACAUUCUCGCCUGCAUUCCAAUUGACAAGUUUAAUUUGUGGUUGGUUUGCGUGGAUCUUGUCAUACCCGCAAUUGACAAGAUACAGGACGGUCUUUGUCGGGCGGCUCCAUGAGGCGGCGCAUGAGCGGAGCGUCGGAGGGGUGGCGCCGUGAUGGGGAAAAAGGGAAUGGAGGCUGAUUGUGUAGGCUGGGCCGAGACAAUCAGAACAUAUGCUAUGUGUUAACUGUCAGUACAAUGGUAACACACAUUCCACUUGGUCUAGUAGAUAUAUAGAAUUUUUUUCCGAUAAAGGGUAGAUAUAUAGAUACAAACUGGUAGCUAGUACAACUUCACUUCAGUAAGUCUUGAGAUACAGUUACUAAACUGACAUAUGUGGUAUUUCCGGACAAACAAUGAACAGAGGCUAGGGGGCAAAAAAAUCGAGGAAACGCAAACGAGUUUGUGUUUCAUUGCAUUGAACAGGAAGACGUCAAGGGUACAACCUCCAGGAAGGAGGGACACACGCGCGCACACACACGUCCUCACCAAGCGACUACAACUAGGUAAGGAGGUGCCCUCAACUACAGACACACAACGGCAUUAGGCCUCACCCAGUCUAGCCUCGAGCCGAAGAUGGCGACGCGUUGAGACUUGGAGCAACAAGGCAGCAUCACCACCAGUGCUAGACACCUCCAGGGGCGAUUGCAGCUUCAGGACUACCCAGGCCAACGUACCUCACACCAAUGUGCCUAGGGAGUCAGCGGAUGAAAGGCAGGACCGGACAGGAACUGGUGUAGCAAGAUAGUGUGGCUUGGAGAUGGGUGUACAUAGCCAGAUAGCUCACCUUGCUUGGCACUCGGCAGCCGUAGAAGACCGACCCCUUCUCCGGCAAGCCCAGGUAUGUCGGGUCAGGGUGCACGUACACCGAGAACAGUGCAGUGUGCCCAUGGAAGAACCUCUCCCACAACGGCGCCAGUGGCAGCUCACCACGCACGAGGAACAUGAACGCCACCUUAGGCGCGGGGAGCACCAGCGAGCUGAUCCUCGGAGCCAUGGACCGCCCGCAGCAGCAGCUCCUCGUCCGUCAUGUUGUGUAGCAUCACCAAACGCCCGCUUUCGUCGCCACCACCGCUGCCACCCAGUGCCAGCAGCCCCAGAGGUGCAGAAGUAGGUGCCGCUGAGUGGUCGGUGGAGGCAAGCCAGAUCACGGUACCAAUGGUGGAGAUUGAUUCCAGGAGGAAGGUGGACGCCAUACCGAGCAUGAAAGCUACGGAGAAGAGGAGAAACCGGGAGAGGAUGUCCCAUGGUUUCGCCAUGGCCGAUCUCAUCUGCGGCUUCCCCAUGGUUUCGAUCUCUAGCUGAUUGGUGAUGAACUACACGUAACGAGUUAAGUACAUUAGCAUGCAGCUUGGCUUGAGCUAGCUACAUAAUUAGCUAGGCAAGGGUUGACCCUUUCACUGCUUCUACUUUUUCACUUGCACGUCACUGACUUUGUGUUGAUCGAUGCAUGCAUAUACAUAUAUAUUGACGUGCUACUACAUAGGCUUGUCCAUGCGUAGGCUUUAAUCAACGGAGGGUACAUAGGGGGCGCUAAAUAUGGGGAAUGUAUGCUUAGCAGACAUUGGACGCCCUGAAAUCCAGCAACCAUUUUCAAACUGCUUCUUUGCUAUGGAUCGACGACUUACAAGUGGAGUAUAUAAAAAAUAUGAGCCAAAAUCGAAGCAACACCUAUCAAAAAGUGCACCCAGUGCCAACAGGGCAUUGCCCCUUGUUUGAAUGCACAUAUCAUACUCACCCGCCCAAGCAUCUCGUCCAUGGAUUUUUCUUUUAUUUAGUUUAGCGUGUUUUACAAGUAGCUCAAUCAGGCGAGCAUGACAAUGCGUACCACAUCACAUUUGUUGAUAAGCGUUUCUUGUGAGAAGACUUAACUGCAUAGAGCGAUCAGUCAUUAAUUAACAUUGCACUUCUUUUGGGUAUAGUACAUCAUGUACAGUGGAGAUGACAUUUUUUGUUGUGUGGCCCGUGCGCAAGUGCGUGUGUGAGAGUGCACGUGUUAGAGUGAGAGAAAGAGAGAGACGGGGAGUCGACAUAACCAACUCGCGCUGAAAUAUUACAUGUUUACAUGUGGAGAGAUGAAUAAUCUCUAAUGUUGCAGUUCUGUUGUUUUGUAAAAGACUUGGAUUAGGCCAUGCAACAAAAUUGCAUUGAUCGGUGCACCAGGCACGUAUAUAUAAUGUACAGGAAGGGGCCACAACCUCAACUAUACAGGAGAACUAGGAGGUGGACCCAAGACACAAUAUACACGCACACAAUAUAUUCACAUGUUUGAACAUUGAGUGGAUGUAUGCAUCAAAGUUUUAUGCAAUCUCUAUUAAGAAAAUAUACUAUUAGCAUAAACUUUGACUUUAUAUUCUCGUCCCUUCUGUAUGCAUUUGAGGAUAUCUCCAAGGAGUACACCUAACUAGUGACUACAAUAUUUUGCAUAAUACAAAUCCGUUGGUGGAUACAAAGACGGAGUGGUAACGUGUCUAGACCUAUGGCCUGUAAUGGCCCAUCCUAGAUUUGCAUGUAAUGGCACAAGCUAAGCCUGAUUGAACAAGUCAACCAGGUAUUACUUUUAUCUUAAGAGUCGGGAUAGUAUAUGUUCGUGCAGAUAUUUUGGAGCCAUGGGAACAAUCGGCAAACUGAACAAAGAUGGUGAUAAAAUCGAAGCCUAUCACGGGCCACUGUAUUUUAUAUGGUAAUAAAGCCUACCACAUAACAGCCCUAUAAUUAUGCUCCAGAACGAGAGGUCUAUGCACCAACCAAAUCCUGGAGUCUUGUUCUCAUCUUGUAGCCGCAGUAGUAACACAAUGAGCUCUGGCAAGACAUCCUGGCCCGAGCUGGUAGGCACGCAGACCAAUCCAGGGCUGGUGAUCAUCAACCACGACAGGUCCGACCUACAGAUCGUGCUGCUGCAGGUGGGCACCACCGUGAGUCCACCAGGGUAUCACGCUGAGCGUGUUGUUAUCUUCUUCGAUGAGCAAACUGGCCUCAUCGCAGCCGUUCCUGCAGUCGGUUAACUCGAUCAUAUGUCCACGGUGCCGGCAUGAGUCCUGGAGUUGUUUGUAGUGUGCCUUUUAUGUUCAUAGGCAUUCACAUAAUAUGUUAUGGCUUGCAGAAACAGUUAUCUAUAAAGAAUAGUGACUACAAGAGCGAGGCUUGUCAAAUAUAUAUACCUCUUUCUUCUUUGCUUAUUUAUAUGUUUCUUUUAUGAAUUAUACCAUCUUGUGUGUAAUAUAAUUUACAAAAGUGUUACCCUUUCACUUAUUAUUUUUUCAUGAUAAGAUUCCUUAUUUGAUCGAAGAUAAAAACGUGCUUCAUUUUGGGAGGCUGUAAUGUGCCCUCUCUUUCGCUCGCUUACUGUAUUGUACAUUCCUUCCUAUAUUCUUACGAAAUUUAAUAACAUACUUACCAACGGCAAAACCGUAUUUUCAAGUCUCAGAUAACAUGGUUAGUAGACAAAAUUGACGCAAGUGUCAUCUUAGUAGAAAAAAUUAGACAGGGUGCCAAACAGUUCUCCCAUGAACAAAUAACGAAUAAGAAAUCUCUUAUUGUGCAUCCUUAUGUUGUUCCUGUGUCACACCUAGCCAUAUAAACUGUAACAGCUGUCUCUUUUUGCUUUACAACGCAAGUAUGAACAUAUCCAAAAAAGCAUAUGACACAACAUACUAGUAUCACUAAAUCUGAUAUCAAAUAUGUUUUUUUUAAUAUUGAGGCAUAUGAAGUGCAUACUUGUACAUAGCUACUUACACCCCUAUAGGUAUUUUACUUCUGUACCAGUGUCGUGGUAAAUGGGUGAAAUUGAAAUCCCAUAUUUCGUAGAAAGAGAAACAAGAUCUCCGGCAGAAAUAACAACCCCUUAGAUUUCCUCCCCCGGGAUCUCCUUUUCCCAUGCCACCAAUUUUUUUUAUGUUAGACACCUUUAAUAUUAUCGGCUUUGUCUAUUAAGAAAAGGCCAACUAUUAAGUGAUGUAGAAUAUUGGAUAUGCUCGGGUUAACUUAUGAAGUGUUGAUCUCUGUGAAAUGAUGUUAGGUCAUUGUAAACUUACAGCUCUAAGGGAAAAACAUAUGUAGCCAAGUGUCUUAGCUUACGCCGACUGUUAUUUUUCAGGUACUCUGCUUAUAAACCUCUAUGCCUAGUACCCUGGAAAAAGCACACGACUAAAGUCAGACCCUCAGCAUAUCACUAACCAAGCCGACCACAACCAAAAAAUGCGCGCGUCUUACAUCAAGUACUCGGCUUAUCAAGGGGAAAGUACUAUGCUUAUAGACAAGCCUCGGCAUUGUGGCUUCCUCGUGGCCAUCCUCGAAGCCUUAAUGUCUCUGUGAAGAGCCUUUUUUUGGCCUUAGUGAAGUAUGUUGGGUACAAGCUCCAUCACCGUAAUGCUGGACUCUGCCGCUGACCCAAGCUCUCUCUGCGCCGCGUUCGGCUGCCCCUACGGCCACACCUCCGCCGCACCAGGAGAGCCGGCAAUGACUACAUGGGCAACCAUGGACCUCGCUAGUUCAGGGCUGCUCCGGUGAGCCGCAGCGGGAAUCCCUCCACCACGAGAAGUACCCCAUCGGCAACCAUGGACCUCGCCGUUGAACCUAACGUAAGAGCAUUGUGUCUUAUUCUGCUGCCGCUGCAUGUCCACCACUCCAUCUAGGCCGCAGCUGCCACCUGGAUCUCGGCACCUCCCGCUCCAUUCGACGGUUGAUGGUCCGGGUGCUCCCCCGCCGAGCCGCUGCGGAAACCCAUCCACCAUGGAAAUCUGCCGCGGGAGUCCUUUGCUGGGUGCGCUUGUGCUCUGAGUCUGUUGCUAUGUUCAUGUGUGCUCUCUAUGUGCGUCCUCUACUUUGAUUGCAGGUGCACGAAGUUGUUUGAUGUAUUCUUUCUGGUCCAAGAUACUCCCUCCGUUCAAAAAUACUUGUCAUCAAAAUGAAUAAAAAGAGAUGUAUCUAGUCGUCCAAAAAUACUUGUCAUCAAAAUGAAUAAAAGAGAUGUAUCGAGAACUAGAUACAUCUCCUUCUAUCCAUUUUGAUGACAAGUAUUUUCGGACAGAGGGAGUAUUAUAGAUGCUUCCUUCAGGCACAUGCUUCCCUGGAUGAUGGAUCAUUCAAAUACAUGGACAUGUCAUGGAUACUUCUGCUUGAAAUAUGUAAAUUGUAAACACCAUUUUUGCAUUCAACCUCAAUAUCAAGUCGGUGUUCCAAAUACCUAAACAUCCAAACAGAAAUAUUGGCAUUCAAUCCAAUGAAAUGCCAAGGCUCCCAAUGCGAACAUCCAAACGGAGCGUAAGGGUAUUGUACACCACGGACCGGAAAAGGGCAGAAUAGGACAGAAAAUUGGGUUGGUGCAGGCUUUCUAUUAUACUAUUAACUAAUAAAGAAAUGGGAAGAGCACUUACAUUCUUGAAUGGACAAAUUAAUAUUUGGCGCAAUGCGUUUCAGCUGUAUGGUGUACGGCUUAGAGCGUAUGUAGCUGGGUUUGCAUGUUAUGCAGUGUAACUUGGAGAAGGAAAACAAUCCAAAUUUGCCCAUUAGCUGAACAUGCCAACUUAUCGUCAAAGACAAAAGCCAAAUGCCAAUUAGGCCUGAAUGUGCCUUAACCAUCUUUUUAUUUAAAAAGUGAUCUAUUUUUCGGUAUAAGUGUCUCCUGAAUAAUAUAGUAAUUCAUGCCUCGACUAAACAGCCCGGCUGAUUUGUGAACAAACGAUCUAUCCAGAAGUGCAGUGAUAACAUCGAGGCAUCACCCAGUCAUGCCGGCCGGCUUUGUAUGCAUGCUAAUUAAGAUUUUUUUUUUGCGGGAAUGCUAAAUUAAGCUUGACACCUAGUCUAUAAAUCCUUGCGAUAUCAGAGACCUUUGCAGACACACCACACCCACGAGGGCCCUAGCACAUAUAUCUGAAGUAGUAAUAAGUAGUAACACACAUAUGAGCUCUCCGAAGACAUCCUGGCCGGAGUUGGUGGGCGAGCCGGCGACACCGGCAGUGAUGACGAUUAACAGCCAAAGGCCCGACUUGACGACGGAGGUGCUCCCGAUUGGGACGAGCCCAAGCCCGCCGGGAUUCGACUCAACGCGUGUCUGCGUCUUCCUCGACCCACGAGACAAGCUUGGCCGUGUUGCAGCUGUUCCAGUCGUUGGCUAGCUUAGAGUUUCUUUUAAGGACGCUACGUAGCAGAGUUGAACUAUAUACCACUAGUAGAAUGCCCGUGCGUUGACACGGGCUUUUAAACUUUUUUAUAAUUGUUGUAUAAAAUUCGGUGAUUUUUUUACUACUUCCAACAAAAUUGACGCAGGCCUUUGUCGAAGGAUUCUUUUUGAACAACAACGUAAUUUAUCUCCAUCUCUCAUAUACCCCGUGAAAAAAUGUAUUAUCAUGUGCAACAUAUAUACAAGGAAGAAUAAUCAUUUGUAUGCAUCUCAUUGUGUAAAAUUGGAUGACUUUUGAGUCCAGUCGCUCAUAGUUACAUCCGUGACUUUGUCAAUCGACAUUUUCAAAGCAUCAUCCGAAGCCAUCAAUUUUUAUUAUCUCUGACCUACAAAAGUUAAAAAAUAAAAAUAUAUUAAAAAAAAGACAAAGCAGCAUGUGCAUUGUCGUCACAUAGAAUGUAUGUCAUCUCACCGCACCAUUGCUUGCAUCUUUUCUAAACUUCCCCACAUACUCCGAGAGAUGAUGGCGUAUUGUACAUCUGACUGAAAAAAUGAUAUGAUUAUCACUACCUUGAGAGAUGAUGGCGUAUCGAAUUAGUUAACUGUCCGUGCAUUGGAAGGGGUCAUACAUUUCAAUGGUUUAACACGAAUUGUAUCAAUUGUAUAUCAGUGGUGCAUCUGACUUGCAACACAUUUUUAAUUCAAAGAUUUCUGAGUGGAAAAAGGAUAUGUAAUAGGUCCUUGUUAUAUACAUAACCAUAAGGUCAUAGGAACCCCAUCCUAAUCUAACUUAAGCAAAACUGCAGAAGAGCUCACAAGUGGACCUGAAGCUAUGAUAGGAACAAAAUUGGAAUGGUGUUCCUCUUGAACAUCCUAUGAGGAACUAACAAUAUUAAGCAAAACACGAAACGGUAGUUCAGUGCUCGGAAAAACAAAUUACCAUUGCCUGAUCAACUUCGACUUGAGUAUCUACCAGGGUUUACAUUUUAAUACAUCCUUUCUUAAAUGUCAGUCUUUGCAUAAAAUCCUCACGUUUUCAAAACAUUAUCAUGCAAAAAUCACAUUCUUUAUGAGAAACACACCUCAUAAUAGAAACUCUGUAUCAUAAUAGAAAUUGUAGGUUUCCUUGAUGGGAAACAUACUAAUGGUCAGAUACGCAUCAUCAUCCCAGUUUAAGCCUCUACCGCUACCCAUCACUACUAUCUUGUGCAACCUCUCGUCUUUCUUAUUUCACUCGCUUUUCUGGAGUUUGUCUUCACCAGCGGUAGCAAUAAAAGCAAGUCCAGCUCAAUGCUGUCAGCAACCUAAAAAAAGUUUCAUCUCUGAUGGCAUUUCCAGAUGGCUUGGCAAGUUCUCAUGCGCUUUCUAAUCCUUGUAUAUAUAAAAGAACCAACUUUCUAAGACAAGAAUCAGGCUACUCAUGUAUGUACCUUUUAGUCUCUUCCUCAAAUUUUCUUCUAGAUGGUGCAAAUGGAGAUUCCAAAUAAGAAGGCAUGGUAGAACAUAGUUCCACAUUUAUUCGUGAAAAGAAACAUAAAUUUAGAACAAGUGGAGUACCUUUCGAUUCCUCGUGUACAUCAACGGAUGUCGUCUUUUUUACCGUUAAAUUACUCUUUUCCUUCUCUCCCUCCACCCAAUACCUUUGCCUCUCCGCCUCCCUAACGCAAGUUCACCACAUUUUUCAAUGGUGCUUCUUGCUCGCAAUCACACCUUCCAUCUCCAUCUAGACUUUAACCAUGCAUUGAUUUACAUCUCACACAGUUUAACUUCUCCCUCUCUCACUGCAAUGCAACAUUCUCUCUCAAUGGUGCUUCUAGCUUGCAAUCACACCUUCCAUCUCCAUCUAGACUUUAAUCAUGCAUUGAUUUACAUCUCACACAGUUUAGCUUCUCCCUCUCUCAGGCUCUCUCACUGCAAUGCAACAUUCUCUCUCUCCCUCCCUCGUUACCCUCUUCCAAAUAAACUGCGGCAUUUAAGAAGUAAACAUUAUGUGUGAGAUGUAAAUAGUUGUGCCAGAAGGACAAUAAAGUUUAAUACGGAUGUAUUGGUCAAAAGUAACACCCAAAUUAAAAAAAUCACUUCUUAGUAUACAUAACCUUGCUAUUAAGAUUUUUUUUACUUUAUUGUGCAACACACUGUAUUUUUGGAGCAUGUGUUAUUUUUACCCUCAACCUGAACAUGUGCUAAUACAGUACAUACAUUUCUAGUUUUCUAUAUAACUGAGUUAUUUGUAUGUCCAAAUAUGAUCUUAGAAUUAGUAUGGUCCCAGUUUAGCUCUUACUAUACCUAAAACAAGCAAGCAUUCAGCCAUUACACCACGGUAGUGUGCGCAACCAAGGUGUGGCUAAUUUGUUUGUUCAAAAGUUUAGGCAUAUCAUUUCAUCAAUCAAAGAAUAUUAUCAUGUAAAUCACCAAUGAUCAUGUCAUUGUGCAAUAAAACAGGGGGGGUGGUCAUAGGAAGUCAUUUACUAAUGAGAUGACAGUACCGACGGCUUGAUUUCUUUGGGAUAGCAUGCAACAUCUCCAAUGGAAAACAAUAAUACUACUAAACAUGAAAGAAUAGGAGGGAUCCCAUCCUUUGGUCUAAUUUUUACGCUCACCCUGACCAUAUGCUACUACAUCCAUUUUUAAUUUUCUAUAUAACCGAGAGGUAUUUGUACGCCAAAAUCUGACCUGACAAUUAGUAUGGUUCAGUUGUAGCUCUUACCUAAAAACCUAAAUUAGCCAAUCAUUCAGGCAUGACACGCCGCGAACAAAAAAAUCUUGCCCCGGCUCGAUGGCUGGCGUUACAAGAGUGAUAGCUCGAUGGACGGCACAAGAAAGGAAGGGGAGCAGCGAAGGAAACUGGGAGGAUAACUGAACUAGUGGCGGAGAAGAUGACAGAGACUCAGAGAAGCAGAUACAAUGAAGCGGUGUGGCCGAGCAGGGUUGAGAUCAUACCUUUGUAUCACCAAAGUAAGGAGUCGGCAACACAUACAACCUGAACUGUUUUCUAGGGAGAAGAAAAAAGGAACAAAAAAUAUGCUUUUUGCACUAACUACUAACCAGUACAACUCUCCAUAGAAAAAUACAUAACAGGCAGGUCAUGUAGUGGUGAAAAUAUAGGGCAAUGUACCUGCAUAAGUUGCUGGGUAGUGUAGUAGUUUGUUCUCUCCUUCAACAAUUCUCGAGCGGCUCGACGAUGACUCCAUUUUCUUCAACAGCAGCGACGGAGGCCUAGCAUUGCAAGACUUCUGUGGUAAAAUAAACAUAUAUAUAUACUAUACAGAAAAUAUUAUGAUGAAGGAACAAAAUCUUAAUAUGUCAUUUAAUUUGAUAGAAAGCCUUGAGAAAAUCAGUAGAGUAGAGUCUGAAAAGGUUUGCUAGAAGUAAUCUUGCAUGCACUUUAGUUUUCCUUCUCAAAUCAAGAAAUUCUUAUGCAGUUCUAAACUUUGUUCAUUCGCUGCAUGCAUCGGUGAUAUGUUGAGACCAGAACAAAUAUAUACCAGUUAAUACUAUUACACACAUUACAUGAGUUAUGUUACACAACAUGUGUUUUCGUCUGAAAUUAAGCAAAAAAUUGAAACGUCUCAACUGGAAUAGUUUCUGAAUCAUUAGAUGUGUUGUCAGGCGGUGCUCCUGCCGGCCUUCAUGAUGGGGUGGGUGAACCGGAGUUGCACUUACACCAUCCAAAUACACCUCUCCAGCAUAUUAAAGCAUGCAAUAUCUAGACCCAUAUGUUCAAAAUCUAUGUUCUAAACAAAACCUAGCCUGAAGCCAUUAACAUUAAGAAUAGUCCUGGGUACUCCUGUGUACCACUUGCACAUAAAGCAAGGGAGUCACUAAGAAGAAAAACAAUGAUUUCAUUCAACUGAGUAGAUGCAGGUGAAGAAGAAUUAAGAACUCAUACUUUUUCCAUGAGGUGUAAGGGGAAUAAUAAUAGAUUCGCUUAGGAGAAACAAAUGUCGUUCAAGGGAGUAUAUGAGAUAUGUGAUUGGGUGGAAUAGUUGGGAGCUCAUAUUUGUUUUUGAAGGCAUGUAGGAAAUAGUAAACGCACUGGUCCAAACUCCAGAAGUAAAGUGGGUGGCGCCAUGCAUGGUACAUAUAAUGAUGCCACUAAUUAAAAGGGGCAUCACCAAAAAAUGAAGAAUGGAAUCAGAUAACAAUAAUUCCUACUAAAAUUAUCGGCAAGCUUGCAUGAAAGAGGACAGAGUCUUGUAAGACCUUGUAGCUGUGCUAUUCUGUUUUGAUGAAGUUUCAUUCAAUCAUAACAUUCAGAAACAACAAUUAUACGCUGGUAGAAAAUGAAAACGAAGCAUUAGGGACAACUAAUCCUGGACCAGAGAUAAGUGGACACACACCCGCACACGCACACGCACGCGCGCGCGCACACACACACGCACAAGAUAGACUAAUUUAAAUUCCUGCUCCGGUACUUACAUGAGAAGUAUUUUGGUCCCCCAUUCUACAUUCUCAACUUAGUGCUUCACUAAAAAAAUUAGGAACUUGAAGCGAUCCUUGUAUAUAUAAACACAAUCUAUGAUAUUCUUACAUACAACUUUAUUUUGCUUCACAAUAAAAUUUUAAAGCAGAUAAAAGAAACAUGUACAAGCACUGCCAUAUGGGAUAACUGAUGGUCAUAUUUUUCCUGAAAGGCGCCUGAUGGUUAUAUGAAACAUCUAAAACUUUAGGAACCAGAUAUGAUCUAAGGAAGUGACACACACUGCAUGUACCUAAUAACAAAAGCCAUAGGAAAGAUAACCUUUAUUGAUUGAAAUAUUGCCAGAUCCACUCCUUUCUUUGAAUAGAAAGUUAGCAACAAGCACUGGCGCCAGCACAUCCCCUUUGUCAUAGAUCAAUAGACAGCAAAAAUGGAGCAACAUUAACGUGGGCUAACUCCUAUGACAGUUUGCAUAUUAAGAAACUAAGAUUACAUAUGGCUAGAUAAUGAAAUUCCUUUGCACCAUCGUGUUCUUACUUUGAAAUGUGGUAGCAACAAUUAGAAAGAUUCUAAUACGUUAGUUUUGGCACAACGGAAAAUCCAGUGCAUGUACCUGUAAUCAACACCGGCUACGAUGGUCAGUUCAUCUUCAUUGAGUACUGAUCAAGCGGCACCAUGUUGAGAAAAAUCAACAAAUUUCUGUCCUUAUCUGCUGCAAUUUUUUAGCUAGUAAACAAAGCACCUGAACAGAUUUCUGCAUUCCAAAAAUUAAAAUUAACAGAUCUCAGCAAUCUUGUUGAGCAAGAAAGAGGCCUUGUCCACCUGCUCCGCCUCUGAGCCGUUGACAAGAACAACCUCCCUCUUGAAUUAAUUGCUGAUCUCCUCCACCCCUCGCAUAUGCCACUCCACCACCUUCGUCGCCACCCCCUUCUUAUUCACCUGCUUCAUCUCAAUCGAUGGUGACGGGCCCAUGGGGCAACGUCCAGGUCCAGGUCCAGUUGCACCGCCCUAUCGCUGCCCCGGCUACUGCUGGUUGGCAUGUCGAUGUAGAUACA
Molecule: long non-coding RNA, 26848 nt
Filed under: Triticum aestivum (bread wheat)
Lineage: Eukaryota; Viridiplantae; Streptophyta; Magnoliopsida; Poales; Poaceae
Description: long non-coding RNA (TAES_LNC028589)
Rfam family: MIR1120/MIR1122 microRNA precursor family (bases 20122-20293)
Source: RNAcentral